UCAAAUCAGCACGGCCCUUACGUCCGGGGCUACACACGUGUUACAAUGGGGGGGUACAGAAGGCAGCUACACGGCGACGUGAUGCUAAUCCCAAAAACCUCUCUCAGUUCGGAUCGAAGUCUGCAACCCGACUUCGUGAAGCUGGAUUCGCUAGUAAUCGCGCAUCAGCCAUGGCGCGGUGAAUACGUUCCCGGGCCUUGUACACACCGCCCGUCAAGCCAUGAAAGCCGGGGGUACCUGAAGUACGUAACCGCAAGGAGCGUCCUAGGGUAAAACUGGUAAUUGGGGCUAAGUCGUAACAAGGUAGCCGUACCGGAAGGUGCGGCUGGAACACCUCCUUUCUGGAGC
RNAcentral lists this ribosomal RNA (348 nucleotides) under Bacteroides sp. AF26-7BH. RNAcentral describes it as "bacterial SSU rRNA". It matches the Rfam family "Bacterial small subunit ribosomal RNA", at positions 1185 to 1533 of the family's 1533-position model. The record is from RNAcentral. Lineage: Bacteria; Pseudomonadati; Bacteroidota; Bacteroidia; Bacteroidales; Bacteroidaceae.